This 253-nucleotide ribosomal RNA is filed under the name uncultured bacterium. RNAcentral describes it as "partial 16S ribosomal RNA". It matches the Rfam family "Bacterial small subunit ribosomal RNA", at positions 524 to 776 of the family's 1533-position model. The record is from RNAcentral.
UACGGAGGGGGCUAGCGUUGUUCGGAAUUACUGGGCGUAAAGCGCACGUAGGCGGCUUUGUAAGUUAGAGGUGAAAGCCCGGAGCUCAACUCCGGAACUGCCUUUAAGACUGCAUCGCUUGAACGUUGGAGAGGUAAGUGGAAUUCCGAGUGUAGAGGUGAAAUUCGUAGAUAUUCGGAAGAACACCAGUGGCGAAGGCGACUUACUGGACAACUGUUGACGCUGAGGUGCGAAAGCGUGGGGAGCAAACGGG